AUGACUGGAUGCCGACGAUACUACCGUCUAGACCUGGACGCUUCCGUGAGCGAGCGGCCCGCAUCCCCCCCACCCCCACCACGAGCCGUCAGCCCGCAUGUCCGCUCGCACACCAGGCGCCGCUCCCCCGCUCCCCCGCUCCAGCCGCCUCUCCUCCGCUCCCCUCCCCUCUCACGAACCCUAGCGCCGCCACACCCCGCGCAGCAGCCACAUCCCUUCCCGCUCUCCGCUCGCCGCGCAGCCGCCGCAUCCCUGCCCGCUCUCCACCCACCUCGGUCGCCCCCUCCCACACCUCUCCUCUGCCCCGAGACCCCCAGCCACCCAACCCCAACUCCGGCGGUCUCCUCUCCCUCCAGCGCCGCCGCUCUACCCUCUUCCGUGACCCUCACCUUCCUCACUCUUCAAAGGAAGGGAUGGGAAGGGAAGGGGAGGGGAGGCCCUAGAUCGAGCGGAGCGACACAGCGGCACCGGCACGGGUGCGCCGUCGUCUACCUGGUCCUCGAACCGGCCAUUCCCCUACUAACCAUGGCCUCCCCCCCUCUCUCUCUGUAUCUCCCACACGGCGGCGCGGUGCAGCCGGCGGCGAUGGCUUUCUGGCAGGCACGCCACUUCCUGUUUUGCGGCGUGUGCGGCACCCUCCUCGACUUCAACUCCCAAGAAUCCUUGCCCUCAGCAUUCUUAGAAGGUCGUCUCAUAAUUUCUGUGAUUCUUCCCUCUAUAGGUGGCUUAAAAUGGAGGCUUGCAUGCCCAAGGCAGGUGGUUAAGGCCCUCUUUAGUUGGUGUGGCAGUGGUGAGUGGAAUGCACGAUGCAGCAGCCUGGAGAAGUGGCCAACACGGCUUAGGAAGCGCCCCACCUGUGAAGCGAUACAUCUGAUGCCAACAUACCAAGCCUAUGCAUUUACAUUUCUGCUGUCAAAGAAACACGUUCUUAAGGGACUUGAACUCAUGGACAAGGCAUCAUCCUUAUUGCAAGAUAUAAUCCUGGCCGGCGGAAGUACAGUGACACAAAGAACCUGGGCGCCGUCUGCUUCCUGCAUCGGCAAGCAAGCGGCGGAGCUUCCAAUGGGCAGAAAUGCGUGCAUGUUGGACUUAUGA
Molecule: ribosomal RNA, 1095 nt
Filed under: Triticum aestivum (bread wheat)
Lineage: Eukaryota; Viridiplantae; Streptophyta; Magnoliopsida; Poales; Poaceae
Description: partial small subunit ribosomal RNA
Source: RNAcentral